CCUGAACGCUGGCGGCGUGGCUAAGACAUGCAAGUCGUACGGGUGCAGCAAUGCACCAGUGGCGCACGGGUGAGUAAUGUAUCGCUAACGUACCCCGAAGUCUGGGAUAGCUGAGGGAAACUUCAGGUAAUACCAGAUGACAUCACUGAGAAGCAUUUCUCGGUGCUCAAAGUAGCAAUACGCUUUGGGAGCGGGCGAUAUCGUAUCAGCUAGUUGGUGAGGUAACGGCUUACCAAGGCGACGACGCGUAGCUGGUCUGAGAGGACGGCCAGCCACAUUGGGACUGAGACACUGCCCAGACUCCUACGGGGGGCUGCAGUAACGAAUCUUCCGCAAUGCACGAAAGUGUGACGGAGCGACGCCGCGUGUGGGACGAAGUUCUUCGGAAUGUAAACC
Molecule: ribosomal RNA, 396 nt
Filed under: uncultured bacterium
Lineage: Bacteria
Description: bacterial SSU rRNA
Rfam family: Bacterial small subunit ribosomal RNA
Source: RNAcentral